RNAcentral lists this long non-coding RNA (546 nucleotides) under Capsella rubella. RNAcentral describes it as "long non-coding RNA (CRUB_LNC000688)". Lineage: Eukaryota; Viridiplantae; Streptophyta; Magnoliopsida; Brassicales; Brassicaceae. The record is from RNAcentral.
CCAAUUUCAAUAAGUUUUUCUCCACACUUCAGAACACUUUUCAUGCAUCUCUAGCAAUUGUAAUCAAUAAAACUUAUUGUACUCUAACAUAUUCUAACCCCAAACAACACUUGAUUAGACAUUUAGUGGUUCAACGCAAUGUUUCCGAGUUCUUAGCCCAUUUGGGACCCAAUUUCAACAAGUCUUUCUCCACACUCCUAAACACUCUUCAUGCAUCUCUAGCACUUGUAAUUAAUAAAAUUAAUUAUAUUCUAACAUAUUCUAACCCCAAACAACAUUAGAUAAGUCAUUUAGUGGUUCAACGCAAUAAUUCCGAGUUCUUAGCCCAUUUGGGACCCAAUUUCAACAAGUCUUUCUCCACACUUCUAAACACUUUUCAUGCAUCCUUAGCACUUGUUACCAAUAAAAUUUAUUGUAUUCUAACAUAUUCUAACCCCAAACAACACUAGAUAAGUCAUUUAGUGGUUCAACGCAAUGUUUCCGAGUUCUUAGCCCAUUUGGGACCCAAUUUCAACAAGUUUUUCUCCACACUUCAGAACACUUUUC